Molecule: small nucleolar RNA, 81 nt
Organism: Vidua macroura (Pin-tailed whydah)
Lineage: Eukaryota; Metazoa; Chordata; Aves; Passeriformes; Viduidae
Product: small nucleolar RNA SNORD72
Exons: 1
Source: RefSeq, a predicted model, not a curated record
CAAUUUUUAAUAAUGUUUUAUGUUUAAAAAGGCUGAACAGGUGAACUCUAUAGUGAUCUCAUUGCAUUACUGAGAUAAAUU